This 560-nucleotide ribosomal RNA is filed under the name uncultured fungus. Its description in RNAcentral is "bacterial SSU rRNA". It matches the Rfam family "Bacterial small subunit ribosomal RNA", at positions 107 to 657 of the family's 1533-position model. Lineage: Eukaryota; Fungi. The record is from RNAcentral.
UGAGUAAUACAUCGGAACGUGUCCAGUCGUGGGGGAUAACCAGUCGAAAGACUGGCUAAGUACCGCAUGCGCCCGAAAGGGGAAAGCGGGGGACCUGUGAGGGCCUCGCGCGAUUGGAGCGGCCGAUGUCCGAUUAGCUAGUUGGUGAGGUAACGGCUCACCAAGGCGACGAUCGGUAGCUGGUCUGAGAGGACGACCAGCCACACUGGGACUGAGACACGGACCAGACUCCUACGGGAGGCAGCAGUGGGGAAUUUUGGACAAUGGGGGCAACCCUGAUCCAGCCAUGCCGCGUGUGUGAUGAAGGCCUUCGGGUUGUAAAGCACUUUCGGACGGAACGAAAUCGCGCGGGCGAAUAUCCCGCGUGGAUGACGGUACCGUAAGAAGAAGCACCGGCUAACUACGUGCCAGCAGCCAGCGGUAAUACGUAGGGUGCGAGACGUUAAUCGGAAUUACUGGGCGUAAAGGGUGCGCAGGCGGCUUCGCAAGUCAGGCGUGAAAUCCCCGAGCUUACCUUGGGAAUUGCGUAUUGAAACUACGAGGCUGGAGUGUGGCAAGAG